GGGGUCGGGGUCGGUGGUGGGGGCAGGGAUAGAAAAGGAAUCUAGAGUGACGAUCCCGUCCCGCUCUGUUGUGGUGCUAUAAAUGGGGUGUUGUGAUGAACCAAAAAAGUGGGAAGUCGUGGGAGUUUUUUGGCAGUCAUUUUGGGAGAUUUUUGUGGCGUUAAAAGAGGAGGCGGUUCAAGUGUUAGCAACACAAAAAGAACAGAUCUAGAUCGAUAUUUUUUGAGUAAUUUGUUAUCGAUUAUUUUGUGAGUUUGGAGAUAUUUUUAGGGGGAGUUUAUUGUAAUGCAAUUCGACAAUAUUACUGAAUUACCCACAUCUGAGUGAAAGAUUGGACGUAGCCCUUAAUUGGUGAACUAAUAUAAUUUUAUUGUGUCGUUUCUUGUGUUUUAUAGUUUCGUUUCUUCCUUAUUUGCAUAUUGUGGUGUGUGUUUGGAUAUUCUUGUAGGAGGGGAAAUUAUUCAAGAUCAUUGAUUUCCCAAUGGAAUUAAUAUAAGAGAGUCAGCUUUAACUUAUUAGUAGGAACUUCAUGUUGGAUCAAUGGAGUUAAAAUAGGAGAGUCGAAGCUGCAAGGCCUAAUGCCUAGACGUUGCGCUAUGAACCCAAAAGAGCGGCUGUAGUAGGCAAGCUGCCAAGAAGGCAGAGCUCAGGUGUUGGCCACUGUCCCGCAGCACUGUGGUGCUACGAUUAUGGAUCCACCCAGUAAAUGAGUGAUUUGGAGCUUGUAUUUAGUUGUAUAUAAUUCAAAGAAAAGAGACUUCAGUGUUUAUGGGCAGUGUAUGAAAAAAGUCUAUAUUCGUAGAUUUAUUGAGGGUGUUUUCAACUGUGUAAUCCUAGGUAGUCAUUAAUAGUGUACUUAGAAGCAAGAAUGGUAGUUAUAUAAUGAUAUCUUGAACAAGAUCUCCAUUGUAAUAUUCUCAACUAUAGUAGAAUUUACUUUUGUAGAAGACUAGACGUAGUCUCAAGACUGGAGCGAACCAAUAUAAUCCUUCUAGUGUUAAGUUUUUCUA
Momordica charantia (bitter melon) is the source of this 1010-nucleotide long non-coding RNA. RefSeq lists it as uncharacterized. Lineage: Eukaryota; Viridiplantae; Streptophyta; Magnoliopsida; Cucurbitales; Cucurbitaceae. The record is from RefSeq and is a predicted model, not a curated record.